UACGUAGGGGGCAAGCGUUGUCCGGAAUUAUUGGGCGUAAAGAGCUCGUAGGCGGUCUGUCGCGUCGGCUGUGAAAACCCGGGGCUCAACCCCGGGCCUGCAGUCGAUACGGGCAGACUAGAGUGCGGUAGGGGAGACUGGAAUUCCUGGUGUAGCGGUGAAAUGCGCAGAUAUCAGGAGGAACACCGGUGGCGAAGGCGGGUCCCUGGGCCGUAACUGACGCUGAGGAGCGAAAGCGUGGGGAGCGAACAGG
Molecule: ribosomal RNA, 253 nt
Filed under: uncultured bacterium
Lineage: Bacteria
Description: partial 16S ribosomal RNA
Rfam family: Bacterial small subunit ribosomal RNA
Source: RNAcentral